This is a non-coding RNA of Acanthosepion pharaonis, 101 nucleotides long. The record is from the annotation of a GenBank genome assembly. Lineage: Eukaryota; Metazoa; Mollusca; Cephalopoda; Sepiida; Sepiidae.
CACGUUAAAACACCGGUUCCCAUGGGAUCUCCGAAGUUAAGCAACGUCGAUCUUGUUCAGUAGCUCUAUGGGUGACUGCUUGUGAAUACCACGUGGUUGGA